This 290-nucleotide ribosomal RNA is filed under the name uncultured Chloroflexota bacterium. RNAcentral describes it as "uncultured Chloroflexi bacterium partial 16S ribosomal RNA". It matches the Rfam family "Bacterial small subunit ribosomal RNA", at positions 1077 to 1378 of the family's 1533-position model. The record is from RNAcentral. Lineage: Bacteria; Bacillati; Chloroflexota.
AGGUUAAGUCCUGCAACGAGCGCAACCCUCGUCGCUAGUUAAUUUCACUAGCGAUACUGCCCGUAAAACGAGGAGGAAGGUGGGGAUGACGUCAAGUCAGCAUGGCCCUUACGCCUUGGGCUACACACACGCUACAAUGGGUGAUACAACGGGAUGCCAAAGAGCAAUCUGGAGCUAAUCCCUAAAAAUCAUCCUCAGUUCGGAUUGUAGGCUGAAACUGCCUGCAUGAAGAUGGAGUUGCUAGUAACCGCAGGUCAGCUAUACUGCGGUGAAUACGUUCCCGGGGGCUU